UAGGGAAUAUUGGACAAUGGGCGCAAGCCUGAUCCAGCCAUCCCGCGUGAAGGAUUAAGGCCCUAUGGGUUGUAAACUUCUUUUCUCUGGGAAUAAAAAGUGGGAUUUACCCUGCCUUGAAGGUACCAGAGGAAUAAGCACCGGCUAACUCCGUGCCAGCAGCCGCGGUAAUACGGAGGGUGCAAGCGUUAUCCGGAUUCACUGGGUUUAAAGGGUGCGUAGGUGGCUUUAUAAGUCAGUGGUGAAAGCCCGGAGCUCAACUCCGGAACUGCCAUUGAUACUGCUUAGCUUGAAUCAGGUAGAGGUGGAUGGAAUAAUACAUGUAGCGGUGAAAUGCUUAGAGAUGUAUUAGAACACCGAUUGCGAAGGCAGUUCACUAUGCCUGCAUUGACACUGAGGCACGAAAGCGUGGGGAUCAAACAGGAUUAGAUACCCCUGUAGUCC
Molecule: ribosomal RNA, 444 nt
Filed under: uncultured bacterium
Lineage: Bacteria
Description: bacterial SSU rRNA
Rfam family: Bacterial small subunit ribosomal RNA
Source: RNAcentral